AUGUCGACUGGAAAUCCGAUACUUCGAUGUGCAUGCGGCAUGCCAUGCACCAGGAAAGCUGGAUCUGCGGUGGCGAGGCAGGACAAGUUCUACUUCAGCUGCGUGAACUAUGGGGUUCAGAGGAGAGCGUGCGAGGUCUACGUGUGGGAGGAUGUACUGGAGGAAUACGUGCAGAAGAGAAUCCAAGCUGAACGGGUGAAGCUGCGGGAGGUGACAGAAGACCGAGACGAGUUCAUCGAGGAAAUGGCUGAUAGGAACAGGGAGAUCAGGAACCUCAGGACGAUGAACAAGAAAAUGGUGUCUGGUUCGUCCUCAUCUGAUUACAAGCAAUCCGAUGAGGAAUCAUCAGAAGGGUUCGAUGUGUAUCCUACACAACACAUCGGUACACCAGAAGAGUUAGAGUCAGAUGGCGCUAGAAAGGGCAAGAAGAAGGCAUAA
This 438-nucleotide ribosomal RNA is filed under the name Triticum aestivum (bread wheat). Its description in RNAcentral is "partial small subunit ribosomal RNA". Lineage: Eukaryota; Viridiplantae; Streptophyta; Magnoliopsida; Poales; Poaceae. The record is from RNAcentral.